GUGACCAAGAGCUGACGUGUGCAGAAGUCCUUCUUGUCCUGGUCGUUGUUCCCGUCUGAGUACCAGCUCCCCAUUGCCCUGAGGGCGGGCGGGCCAGAGGCAGAGGGAAGAAAGAGGAGGAGAAGGAAAUUGUCCCGGAUUCUUGCAGCUGUGUCUUCCUGACCACCGCACUGUGUCUAGUGGGUCCGAGCCUCUCCUGGGUGGCCAGUCUUUCCGUAGGUUACGGCACAACGCCAGACAAGAGAAGAGGAAGGAAAUUAACCCUGAUCGGUGAAGGUCGAUUUGAGGGUCUGCUGUAGCAGGUGGCACCGUUUGAAGCUAGGGAGGAAGUUUCCCAGGAUCGGUAGAGAUUGAAAGAUUAUUGGGCGUGGCACACACCCCCAGCCAAGAGAAAAAGAAGCAAACUGCCUAUUUCAAAGAGGUUAGUUCAAGGGUGCUACUUCCUGGAGAUACCAGAGAUUGUGGUGACUGACACCCCAGCCGAAUCU
This 488-nucleotide long non-coding RNA is filed under the name Urocitellus parryii (Arctic ground squirrel). Its description in RNAcentral is "lncRNA (ENSUPAG00010010130.1)". The record is from RNAcentral. Lineage: Eukaryota; Metazoa; Chordata; Mammalia; Rodentia; Sciuridae.